This 245-nucleotide ribosomal RNA is filed under the name uncultured bacterium. RNAcentral describes it as "partial 16S ribosomal RNA". It matches the Rfam family "Bacterial small subunit ribosomal RNA", at positions 524 to 768 of the family's 1533-position model. The record is from RNAcentral.
UACAGAGGUCCCGAGCGUUGUUCGGAUUCACUGGGCGUAAAGGGUGCGUAGGUGGUCGGGUAAGUCCGAUGUGAAAUCUCCAGGCUUAACCUGGAAACGGCAUUGGAAACUAUCCGGCUCGAGGAUUGGAGGGGGGACUGGAAUUCUCGGUGUAGCAGUGAAAUGCGUAGAUAUCGAGAGGAACACCAGUGGCGAAGGCGAGUCCCUGGACAAUUCCUGACGCUGAGGCACGAAAGCUAGGGGAG